GUGAGGAAUAUUGGUCAAUGGGCGCAAGCCUGAACCAGCCAUGCCGCGUGCAGGAAGAAUGCCCUAUGGGUUGUAAACUGCUUUUAUUUAGGAAUAAACCCCUUUACGUGUAGAGGGCUGAAGGUACUAAAUGAAUAAGCACCGGCUAACUCCGUGCCAGCAGCCGCGGUAAUACGGAGGGUGCAAGCGUUAUCCGGAAUCAUUGGGUUUAAAGGGUCCGCAGGCGGGCGUAUAAGUCAGUGGUGAAAGCCCGUUGCUUAACAACGGAACUGCCAUUGAUACUGUAUGUCUUGAAUUCGGUCGAAGUGGGCGGAAUGUGUAGUGUAGCGGUGAAAUGCUUAGAUAUUACACAGAACACCGAUAGCGAAGGCAGCUCACUAGGCCUGAAUUGACGCUCAUGGACGAAAGCGUGGGGAGCAAACAGGAUUAGAAACCCGAGUAGUCC
This 445-nucleotide ribosomal RNA is filed under the name uncultured bacterium. RNAcentral describes it as "bacterial SSU rRNA". It matches the Rfam family "Bacterial small subunit ribosomal RNA", at positions 354 to 796 of the family's 1533-position model. The record is from RNAcentral.